This 550-nucleotide ribosomal RNA is filed under the name uncultured fungus. Its description in RNAcentral is "eukaryotic LSU rRNA". The stretch from base 234 to 387 matches the Rfam family "5.8S ribosomal RNA". The record is from RNAcentral. Lineage: Eukaryota; Fungi.
CUUGGUCAUUUAGAGGAAGUAAAAGUCGUAACAAGGUUUCCGUAGGUGAACCUGCGGAAGGAUCAUUACACAAAUAUGAAGGCGGGCUGGAACCUCUCGGGGUUACAGCCUUGCUGAAUUAUUCACCCUUGUCUUUUGCGUACUUCUUGUUUCCUUGGUGGGUUCGCCCACCACUAGGACAAACAUAAACCUUUUGUAAUUGCAAUCAGCGUCAGUAACAAAUUAAUAAUUACAACUUUCAACAACGGAUCUCUUGGUUCUGGCAUCGAUGAAGAACGCAGCGAAAUGCGAUAAGUAGUGUGAAUUGCAGAAUUCAGUGAAUCAUCGAAUCUUUGAACGCACAUUGCGCCCAUUAGUAUUCUAGUGGGCAUGCCUGUUCGAGCGUCAUUUCAACUAUCAAGCCCUAUUUGCUUGGCGUUGGGAGCUUGCCCUACCCUGUAGGACAACUCCUCAAAUAUAUUGGCGGAGUCGCGAAGACCCCAAGCGUAGUAAUUUUUUCUCGCUUCAGGUGUGUCAGCGCUGGCAUCCAGCCAUUAAACCCCUAAUUUUU